RNAcentral lists this ribosomal RNA (468 nucleotides) under uncultured bacterium. RNAcentral describes it as "partial 16S ribosomal RNA". It matches the Rfam family "Bacterial small subunit ribosomal RNA", at positions 28 to 507 of the family's 1533-position model. The record is from RNAcentral.
GACGAACGCUGGCGGCGUGCUUAACACAUGCAAGUCGAACGGAAAGGCCCUGCUUUUGUGGGGUGCUCGAGUGGCGAACGGGUGAGUAACACGUGAGUAACCUGCCCUUGACUUUGGGAUAACUUCAGGAAACUGGGGCUAAUACCGGAUAGGAGCUCCUGCUGCAUGGUGGGGGUGGGAAAGUUUCGGCGGUUGGGGAUGGACUCGCGGCUUAUCAGCUUGUUGGUGGGGUAGUGGCUUACCAAGGCUUUGACGGGUAGCCGGCCUGAGAGGGUGACCGGCCACAUUGGGCCUGAGAUACGGCCCAGACUCCUCCGGGAGGCAGCAGUGGGGAAUAUUGCACAAUGGGCGGAAGCCUGAUGCAGCAACGCCGCGUGCGGGAUGACGGCCUUCGGGUUGUAAACCGCUUUCGCCUGUGACGAAGCGUGAGUGACGGUAAUGGGUAAAGAAGCACCGGCUAACUACGUG